UGAGUCGAGCGAGAAAGGGGGGCAACUCCCUGAGUAAAGCGGCGCACGGGUGAGUAACACGUGGGUAAUCUGCCCUGGAGUGGGGAAUAACACCGGGAAACCGGUGCUAAUACCGCAUACGAUCACGAUGUCUGCGGAUGUUGUGAUGAAAGGAGCAAUUCGCUCUAGGAGGAGCCCGCGGCUGAUUAGCUAGUUGGCGAGGUAAUGGCUCACCAAGGCUUCGAUCAGUAUCCGGUCUGAGAGGACGGUCGGACACACUGGAACUGAGACACGGUCCAGACUCCUACGGGAGGCAGCAGUGGGGAAUUUUUCGCAAUGGGGGCAACCCUGACGAAGCAACGCCGCGUGGGUGAUGAAGUAUCUCGGUACGUAAAACCCUUUCGACGGGGAAGAAACCGCAAGGUUGACGGUACCCGUAGAAGAAGCCCCGGCUAACUCCGUGCCAGCAGCCGCGGUAAUACGGGGGGGGCGAGCGUUGUUCGGAAUUACUGGGCGUAAAGGGUGCGUAGGCGGUCCGCUAAGUUGGAUGUGAAAACUCUGGGCUUAACCCAGAGCCUGCAUUCAAAACUGACGGGCUAGAGUUCUGGAGGGGGUAGCGGAAUUCCUGGUGUAGCGGUGAAAUGCGUAGAUAUCAGAGGAACACCGGUGGCGAAGCGGCUACCUGGACAGAGUCUGACGCUGAGCACGAAAGCUAGGGGAGCAAACAGAUUAGAUACCCUGGUGGUCCUAGCCCUAAACGAUGGAUACUUGGUGUAGCUGGGAUUGAAUCCAGCUGUGCCGAACUAACGCAUUAAGUAUCCCGCCGGGGAGUACGGUCGCAGGCUGAAACUCAAAGAUGACGGGGCCGCACAGCGGUG
This 857-nucleotide ribosomal RNA is filed under the name uncultured bacterium. RNAcentral's name for it is "bacterial SSU rRNA". It matches the Rfam family "Bacterial small subunit ribosomal RNA", at positions 58 to 934 of the family's 1533-position model. The record is from RNAcentral.